RNAcentral lists this transfer RNA (85 nucleotides) under Marinifilum sp. N1E240. RNAcentral's name for it is "tRNA-Tyr". It matches the Rfam family "tRNA". Rfam says of the family: Transfer RNA (tRNA) molecules are approximately 80 nucleotides in length. Their secondary structure includes four short double-helical elements and three loops (D, anti-codon, and T loops). Further hydrogen bonds mediate the characteristic L-shaped molecular structure. tRNAs have two regions of fundamental functional importance: the anti-codon, which is responsible for specific mRNA codon recognition, and the 3' end, to which the tRNAs corresponding amino acid is attached (by aminoacyl-tRNA synthetases). tRNAs cope with the degeneracy of the genetic code in two manners: having more than one tRNA (with a specific anti-codon) for a particular amino acid; and 'wobble' base-pairing, i.e. permitting non-standard base-pairing at the 3rd anti-codon position. The record is from RNAcentral. RNAcentral also lists the same sequence under 1 other name. Lineage: Bacteria; Pseudomonadati; Bacteroidota; Bacteroidia; Marinilabiliales; Marinifilaceae.
GGGGAGAUACCAAAGUGGCCAACUGGGGCGGACUGUAACUCCGCUGACUUCGUCUUCGUAGGUUCGAAUCCUGCUCUCCCCACCA